This 93-nucleotide transfer RNA is filed under the name Hygrophoropsis aurantiaca. RNAcentral describes it as "tRNA-Ser". It matches the Rfam family "tRNA". From Rfam's summary of the family: Transfer RNA (tRNA) molecules are approximately 80 nucleotides in length. Their secondary structure includes four short double-helical elements and three loops (D, anti-codon, and T loops). Lineage: Eukaryota; Fungi; Basidiomycota; Agaricomycetes; Boletales; Hygrophoropsidaceae. The record is from RNAcentral.
GUCACUUUGCCGGAGUGGUUAACGGGAUCGCCUGCUAUUUCAUAGCCUAGCGGUUGGUCUUUGACCGCGAGUGUUCGAAUCGCUCAGGUGACG